GUGCCAGCAGCCGCGGUAAUACGUAGGGGGCAAGCGUUGUUCGGAGUUACUGGGCGUAAAGGGUGUGUAGGCGGUUCUUUAAGUUUGGUGUGAAAUCUCCCGGCUCAACUGGGAGGGUGCGCCGAAUACUGAGGGACUAGAGUACGGGAGAGGAAAGUGGAAUUCCUGGUGUAGCGGUGAAAUGCGUAGAUAUCAGGAGGAACACCGGUGGUGUAGACGGCUUUCUGGACCGACACUGACGCUGAGACACGAAAGCGUGGGUAGCAAACAGGAUUAGAUACCCCGGUAGUCC
Molecule: ribosomal RNA, 292 nt
Filed under: uncultured bacterium
Lineage: Bacteria
Description: partial 16S ribosomal RNA
Rfam family: Bacterial small subunit ribosomal RNA
Source: RNAcentral